AGAGACAGCCUAUGGGAUAGCUCAGAGGAGAAGCACCAAGAUUCGACCAUAUCUACACCAGAGAUGAUUGGCAAUCCUUCUGAAAGGAGUGGAUAUGACAUGGAUAUAGGAGGGGUGCUCCAUGUGGAGAAUGUUGAGAAGGGGAUAUCACCGGUUACAAUUAUGCAAUUUCUAUAUCAGCAAGUUUCAGUCUCAUGUAGAGCAUUUGUUAUGCCAAGUACGUAGUCAAGAGUCAUAUACAAGAGGAAUCAUCAUACUGGAUAACAAAAGGAAUCUUGAAAAGUUGUCCAACUUCUUGGAGAGUCCAGAUCGCAUCAUCAUUUCCUCAAGAGGAAGGUAUAUCUUGUGUCAAUUGCUUUUAUUUGACUAGAAAUUGUUCAAACUUGUAAAUAUGUAGAGUGGUUCAAACUUGUCAUUUCAGCCUCCCAAUUGUUUAAACAGCCAAAUUGGACAUUGGAUAUGAUUUUUGGAUUCCUUUAGCUUUAUUCAUUGGUGUUUCUAAUGUCAUUAUUUUUCAAUUCUGUGCAAGCCUUGGUUGGUGCCUCAGAAAAAAUUCUUGGAUGACACACUGAGUUCAAUGUCCGAAGUAUGAAGUAUUCAGGCAUACUUCUCAGGUUAGUUUGCUAGAAUUUUUCACGCAAUUUGAUUGUGUGGGUGAAAUGACAAGCUCUGUGUUAGAACAUGUGUUUUCUGCAGAUUUGGUAAUAUUAGAUGCAGCUCAGGUGCUGAAGUGUAUAAGCAUGACCAUGGCAUACACAGCCCCGGUGACUAAUCAUUGCCUGGCAUAUGAGAUUAGUUGUGCCAUGAUAAAUAGAUAAUUUUUCUGACAGAGUCUAUCCUUAUACUCCCUGCCUGCAAAAAAGGGAAGAAAGCUUAUCAAAACCUGAGAAUGUAAAUGAACUGGUUUAAUCAAUUGAUUUGCCACUGAAAAGUACUAUUCCUAUUUGUUUUGCAGACAGCUUUAGAUGACAGAACUCUAAGCAGCAAUGAGUUAAAGGUAGUCAUUUCUGGGAGUCGAGAAUACCAGAAAGCUAAAAAGCUAGAGAAUUUGUUUAAGAAAUUUGCCGACCACCAAUGCAGAAUUCAUAAGAGGCUACUUUAUGAAGAGGCAGAGAUCUCAAAGCGACCUGUGUAAUGGAUUGUAGAGAUACUAGAGAUUUUAGUUGCUUCUGCAUGGGGCUGAGUCAAGGUUUGUGUACCCUUGGCUUUUUGAUUGUCACAAAUUGCCAUGCUAAUAGUUUCAUACUGGUCGUAUCAUUUUUUGUGCUGUGACAACAAAUUUAGUCUAUGGUACACUGCCACAGGAAUACUGUAGCUAAUUACAGCCAUAAAUUGUGACUUUCAUCAAUUUUCUCCAACUAUAUAUUGUUUGUCUCA
Molecule: long non-coding RNA, 1377 nt
Organism: Rosa chinensis
Lineage: Eukaryota; Viridiplantae; Streptophyta; Magnoliopsida; Rosales; Rosaceae
Exons: 2
Source: RefSeq, a predicted model, not a curated record